RNAcentral lists this ribosomal RNA (729 nucleotides) under uncultured bacterium. Its description in RNAcentral is "bacterial SSU rRNA". It matches the Rfam family "Bacterial small subunit ribosomal RNA", at positions 38 to 762 of the family's 1533-position model. The record is from RNAcentral.
GGCGGCAGGCCUAACACAUGCAAGUCGAGCGGUAGAGAGGUGCUUGCACCUCUUGAGAGCGGCGGACGGGUGAGUAAUACCUAGGAAUCUGCCUGGUAGUGGGGGAUAACGUUCGGAAACGGACGCUAAUACCGCAUACGUCCUACGGGAGAAAGCAGGGGACCUUCGGGCCUUGCGCUAUCAGAUGAGCCUAGGUCGGAUUAGCUAGUUGGUGAGGUAAUGGCUCACCAAGGCUACGAUCCGUAACUGGUCUGAGAGGAUGAUCAGUCACACUGGAACUGAGACACGGUCCAGACUCCUACGGGAGGCAGCAGUGGGGAAUAUUGGACAAUGGGCGAAAGCCUGAUCCAGCCAUGCCGCGUGUGUGAAGAAGGUCUUCGGAUUGUAAAGCACUUUAAGUUGGGAGGAAGGGCAUUAACCUAAUACGUUAGUGCUUUGACGUUACCGACAGAAUAAGCACCGGCUAACUCUGUGCCAGCAGCCGCGGUAAUACAGAGGGUGCAAGCGUUAAUCGGAAUUACUGGGCGUAAAGCGCGCGUAGGUGGUUUGUUAAGUUGAAUGUGAAAUCCCCGGGCUCAACCUGGGAACUGCAUCCAAAACUGGCAAGCUAGAGUAUGGUAGAGGGUAGUGGAAUUUCCUGUGUAGCGGUGAAAUGCGUAGAUAUAGGAAGGAACACCAGUGGCGAAGGCGACUACCUGGACUGAUACUGACACUGAGGUGCGAAAGCGU